Long non-coding RNA from Ornithodoros turicata, 468 nucleotides. RefSeq lists it as uncharacterized. The record is from RefSeq and is a predicted model, not a curated record. Lineage: Eukaryota; Metazoa; Arthropoda; Arachnida; Ixodida; Argasidae. The transcript has 3 exons.
UAUCGCCCCCGCUCGACGGAAUGCGCCAAAACGGCGUGGUACUAUCUAUGCCGUAGGCAGUGCAGGAGUGCAGGGCCUCGCUUCGCUUGCUUGCAUGGAAUCGCAAAGACCACGAAAAAACGGCAGCUAUUGCUGCGUGGUAGGGUGCCACAACAGUAAGGUGAACGUGAGGGGGAAACAGCCUCGUGUGAAGUUUUAUAAAUUUCCGAACAAGUGGUUCGAACAAGGGCGUCGGCGACAAUGGAUAGCGGCUGUACGAAGAGUGAACCCGGAUGGCACUCCUUGGGAGCCAAGCCAGACGACUGUCAUCUGCAGUUGCCACUUCGUCGGCAACGAAAAAAGCGCUGACCAGACGCAUCCUUCCUACGUCCCCUCAGUAUUUCCAGCGAUGUACAAAGCCAAAUCCGUCGUGGGAUUGGCGCCUGUUGAGCGUUAUGAAAGACUCAAGCGGCGAUCUCAACGUAAUGG